AUUGAACGCUGGCGGAAUGCUUUACACAUGCAAGUCGAACGAUGAAGUCCAGCUUGCUGGACGGAUUAGUGGCGAACGGGUGAGUAACAUAUCGGAACGUACCCAGUAAUGGGGGAUAACUAGUCGAAAGACUGGCUAAUACCGCAUACGCCCUGAGGGGGAAAGCGGGGGAUCGAAAGACCUCGUGUUAUUGGAGCGGCCGAUAUCUGAUUAGCUAGUUGGUGGGGUAAAGGCCUACCAAGGCGACGAUCAGUAGCUGGUCUGAGAGGACGACCAGCCACACUGGAACUGAGACACGGUCCAG
RNAcentral lists this ribosomal RNA (304 nucleotides) under uncultured bacterium. Its description in RNAcentral is "bacterial SSU rRNA". It matches the Rfam family "Bacterial small subunit ribosomal RNA", at positions 30 to 334 of the family's 1533-position model. The record is from RNAcentral.